CGCGGCGCUCCGGAGGCGACGAGGACCCCCGGUCGCGACUGCAGAUCUAGGUGGACGAGAGCUUCCGUGGCGCACGGAGCUCGACCUCGGGAUAGAUUUUCUUUGUAGGAUUUGACGAGUAAGAUUGAAAGGAGCGUCCGUGAGAGUCGGAGCUGGUUUUGUAGGAUUUGGUCGGUUACGUCGGAUACGUUGGUUGAUUUUGUCUGCGUAGGACUUAGUAGAUUUUUCUUGGUUUCACUAUCGCCUUCAACGGGCAGCGGGGGUGCGGCGGCCAGCGACGCAGAACGUUCCACUCAACCUCAACCGUCGAUCAGCCUGUGGAAGUGCUCGAUUUUAAGCGAUCCGCGCUCAAGUUUCCGCUUGUAACUUCAGAAAUCGGAAGAAAUUGGAUAAAAACUAAUGAUUCUGAAAGGUGAGGAUACGUAGAUUUGCAAACCGAUUUGUGUACAAGUCUGGAAAUUUUUUAAAAUCUCUUUUUGAAGUUGGAAUUUUAGGAUUUUCACUAUUCGAUUUUGAAUUCGCGCUCUAACUCCCAAGACAUCUCCAAUCCCAAUCCCCUCCCCCCAAUCAUCACCACAGACCUAAACGAAAAACCUACGUCUGUAUUAAAUUGUUUUAACAAAAAACUGCACCGGAAGUCAUCUCGGAAACAGGAGCAUUAUUUGUACACGCUGUGCCGUCACCUCUUUUUUUGCAUUUCCGAAACACUCGUUGCUCUAGGGUAGCUUGGGGUUUAGUGGGCAAGGCGGAUUAACUGAACACUCGACCUAGCUGCCACCUAGUGGGCAUACUCAGAACCAACUACGCGUCAAUUUCAUCAGAUUAUACUAGAAUACCUUGCGCCGAGUUGAUAAUCUUUGUUUUUUUUUUAGAUCAUGUUUACAAACGUGUUUCGUGGGGCGAAAAGUAAAUUCCCGGUGCUGUGAACUGAAGCCCAAAUGACAUAUCUGGCUUUUGAGGAAGGUUUUGUAUUUUAACAACUAAAAGGAGCAAAAGGAUAACCAACCAUGGGGCCUAUUCAGAAGUCAUUGAAAUAAGUUUUCCGUGUCUCUUGUCUCUUAGUAAAAAUUUAUUUAAUAUAAGUAUUAAGACAAACAAAACAUCAUCCUCAGAUGUAUUUCUCUAAUUUUCAAGACUUUUCCACUUGUUCAUUUGACUUAAUAAAAGUUUCCUCUUUCAAAAGUAUGCUUUUUCGUCUUAGUGUCCAGUCAACCCACCCCCAGUGCCCAGUUAACCCACCCCACGGGGGUAACUGAGCACUUUCCCAUUUUUUACAAAAUCAAAAUUU
This is a non-coding RNA of Bemisia tabaci, 1288 nucleotides long. NCBI's taxonomy places the organism in Eukaryota, Metazoa, Arthropoda, Insecta, Hemiptera, Aleyrodidae. The record is from RefSeq and is a predicted model, not a curated record.